CCACGCGGCUCUGAGCGGGACGGAGCUCAGGCCCCGCCGGAGACGCGCUCGGGAAAACACCCAAAGGACUCUACAAAUGUGAAGGAAACAUGGGACUAAAAUGUUGACAAGUCUGGGGAGUGGGCACACAAGUGUUUUCCAGACAAAGGUCAACACUUCCAUCCAGGUGCUAUCACAGACAAUUGGCAAUCACCGGCCAGAGCCAUUCAUUGGCAUAUCGGAGACUGAAGGGACAGAUCAAUUUGCAUUGCAGAAAGUACCAGCAGGGAAGAAACCAAAGUGGAACCUUCUCCAUCAGCCUCCGUGGCACUUUUCAUCCAAGCAGGGGCACUGGACUUUGAGACAGACACAUUUCAAAUGUUCGCUGGCCUAUAAAAGAGAGGGGCAAAGAAUCCUACUUUACCUUUCACCUAAGAAGACAAAGGAAGGAAGCACUUUGGACUUUGUGGGAGUGGUCAGCCAUGUUGCUGGAAGGAGGAAUGCAAGAAGCUUAAAGAAAACAACAACCCAUCAACCUUAGAACAGUGUACUCCAUACUUGUCCUCUCUGAGUUCCAAUUCAGAUGAUGAAGUUGCUGGAGUUGAUAAAAGAACAACAGAGACUCUUGCCAAAUUCAGCUGUCAGUUACACUUGUGUAAAUCUGGACUGGAAUUGCUGAUUUUUAGAACAGAGCAGAAUUUGGCCCUCUAUUUUGAGAUGGCUGGUCUCAAGCCGGAAUAAAGUUCUGUAGCAGAUUCCCUAGAUUGUGCAGCACUUUGGUUGACAGACUGGAAAAUCCUCAGCAGUCUAAUUGAAAUUAAAAAAUGAUGGGUCUGAAUAAGAUAUGAACAUGAAUAAU
Long non-coding RNA from Mauremys reevesii (Reeves's turtle), 838 nucleotides. RefSeq lists it as uncharacterized. Lineage: Eukaryota; Metazoa; Chordata; Testudines; Geoemydidae. The transcript is spliced from 3 exons. The record is from RefSeq and is a predicted model, not a curated record.